CAGGUCAGCAUACUGCCGUGAAUACGUUCCCGGGCCCUUGUACACACCGCCCGUCACACCAUGAGAGUUGGGAAUACCCGAAGCCUGUGAGCUAACAUUAAGAGGCAGCAGUCGAAGGUAGAAUCAAUGAUUGGGGUGAAGUCGUAACAAGGUACC
RNAcentral lists this ribosomal RNA (156 nucleotides) under uncultured bacterium. Its description in RNAcentral is "partial 16S ribosomal RNA". It matches the Rfam family "Bacterial small subunit ribosomal RNA", at positions 1345 to 1500 of the family's 1533-position model. The record is from RNAcentral.